This 752-nucleotide transfer RNA is filed under the name Afifella marina. RNAcentral describes it as "partial miscellaneous RNA". The stretch from base 236 to 309 matches the Rfam family "tRNA". The record is from RNAcentral. Lineage: Bacteria; Pseudomonadati; Pseudomonadota; Alphaproteobacteria; Hyphomicrobiales; Afifellaceae.
AAGGAAGAUCCCUUACGGUCGUCUCUUUAUGAGGCAACGCCGUUUCGGAUCUCUUGGAACAUGGCCGACCAGUCAGGUCGGCCGAUCAAACACAAGGCGGUCGUCGCCGUCUUCGUUUCUCUUUCUUCGACAUACGCGUGAUCAGCGCUCGGGUGCUGGACUGCCGGUUCGCCUCAGGGUACGCCGGGGCGGCGUCCUUGACGUAUCCGGUCGUCUUCGGGCGAUGGGAUGGCAAGGGCCUGUAGCUCAGUCGGUUAGAGCGCACCCCUGAUAAGGGUGAGGUCGGUAGUUCGAAUCUACCCAGGCCCACCAUUUGCCCGGCGAUCAUGACCGGCUGGGGCCAUAGCUCAGCUGGGAGAGCGCCUGCUUUGCAAGCAGGAGGUCGUCGGUUCGAUCCCGUCUGGCUCCACCUUCUUCUUCGGUCGAUGGGGUGUUCGGGUGACGCGCGUGAGAAGAAAGUACAAGUUUCGCAGAUCCCACUAUGCGUGAGGGUUUGCAGGAUUUCUGACAUCGUGAAGAGAAGAUAUGUCCGGACGCACCUUUGGGUGUGGGCCUUCCAAUUGGAGGCCAAUUCCGCUCUCCGGCGGAGUUUACGGGCAGAUCUCGUGUGACACUGGUCUUUCCGAUCCGUCCGUCCGCCUCAUCAGCGGAUGGUGGAUCGACAGCCCGCCUUGGCGCCUCCUGACCGGGGUGCUGCUCUCAGGCUUCUUCCCGUUGGGGAGAGGUGAGGCGGGCAUUGAUAAUGAGAGCGA